CCAAAAAGAUCAUCAAGGACAACAACCACCGAGCCACUGCCUGUUCACCCUGCUAUCACCCAGAAGGCGAGGUCAGUACAGGUGCAUCAAAGCUGGGACCGAGAGACUGAAAAACAGCUUCUAUCUCAAGGCCAUCAGACUGUUAAACAGCCACCACUAACAUCGAGUGGCUGCUGCCAACAUACUGACUCAACUCCAGCUCACUUUAAUAAUGGGAAUUGAUGGAAAUUGAUCAAAAAUGUAUCACUAGCCACUUUAAACAAUGCCACUUAAUAUAAUGUAUAUGUUUAUACUGUACUCCAUAUCAUCUACUGCAUCUUGCCAUCUUAAUGUAAUACAUGUAUCACUAGCCACUUUAAACUAUGCACUUUUAUGUUUACAUACCCUACAUUACUCAUCUCAUAUGUAUAUGUUUAUACUGUACUCUAUAUCAUCUACUGCAUCUUGCCAUCUUUAUGUAAUACAUGUAUCACUAGCCACUUUAAACUAUGCACUUUUAUGUUUACAUACCCUACAUUACUCAUCUCAUAUGUAUAUGUAUACACUGUACUCUAUAUCAUCUACUGCAUCUUGCCAUCUUUAUGUAAUACAUGUAUCACUAGCUACUUUAAACUAUGCACUUUUAUGUUUACAUACCCUACAUUACUCAUCUCAUAUGUAUAUGUAUAUACUGUACUCUAUAUCAUCUACUGCAUCUUGCCAUCUUUAUGUAAUACAUGUAUCACUAGCCACUUUAAACUAUACCACUUUAUGUUUAUAUACCCUACAUUACUCAUCUCAUAUGUAUAUACUGUACUCGAUACCAUCUACUGCAUCUUGCCUAUGCCGUUCUGUACCAUCACUCAUUCAUAUAUCUUUAUGUACAUAUUCUUUAUCCCUUUACACUUGUGUGUGUAUAAGGUAGUAGUUGUGGAAUUCUUAGGUUAGAUUACUCGUUGGUUAUUACUGCAUUGUCGGAACUAGAAGCACAAGCAUUUCGCUACACUCGCAUUAACAUCUGCUAACCAUGUGUAUGUGACAAAUCAAAUUUGAUUUGAUGUUGGGUUGAUUCUCUCCUUCCAUGUUUUGGGUGUAAAUAAUUCCCUCCUUGCAAAAUACAGGAAACUACUUCUGUUGAGAUUAAGUGUUUUAUAGACGCGUCAACCAGCUAGGUGUUCUAACAAGCAAAGCAGAGUAUUGUACAAGGCAAAGCGUGUAUUAACAUGUGCAGGAUGUGCCUCUGUGCUGCUCUUCAUAGUCUACUUCAUACCUACAUCAAUAAGGUACUUUGAGGGCUUAAUCCCCAUGAACCGAUGUCAUCUAGCCCCUGGAGAGAAGCUGAAGCUGGGGAAUAGUAUAGAUGCUUCCCUAGACC
Long non-coding RNA from Salvelinus fontinalis (brook trout), 1354 nucleotides. RefSeq lists it as uncharacterized. NCBI's taxonomy places the organism in Eukaryota, Metazoa, Chordata, Actinopteri, Salmoniformes, Salmonidae. The transcript has 3 exons. The record is from RefSeq and is a predicted model, not a curated record.